AUUGAACGCUGGCGGCAGGCCUAACACAUGCAAGUCGAACGGUAACAGAAAGCAGCUUGCUGCUUUGCCGACGAGUGGCGGACGGGUGAGUAAUGUCUGGGAAACUGCCUGAUGGAUGGGGAUAACUACUGGAAACGGUAGCUAAUACCGCAUAACGUCGCAAGACCAAAGAUGGGGACCUUCGGGCCUCUUGCCAUCGGAUGUGCCCAGAUGGGAUUAGCUAGUAGGUGGGGUAACGGCUCACCUAGGCGACGAUCCCUAGCUGGUCUGAGAGGAUGACCGGCCACACUGGAACUGAGACACGGUCCAGACUCCUACGGGAGGCAGCAGUGGGGAAUAUUGCACAAUGGGCGCAAGCCUGAUGCAGCCAUGCCGCGUGUAUGAAGAAGGCCUUCGGGUUGUAAAGUACUUUCAGCGGGGAGGAAGGGAGUAAAGUUAAUACCUUUGCUCAUUGACGUUACCCGAAGAAGAAGCACCGGCUAACUCCGUG
Molecule: ribosomal RNA, 490 nt
Filed under: uncultured bacterium
Lineage: Bacteria
Description: partial 16S ribosomal RNA
Rfam family: Bacterial small subunit ribosomal RNA
Source: RNAcentral